GGGCCUGUAGCUCAGCUAGGUAGAGCAGCCGGCUCUUAACCGGUUGGUCGCGGGUUCGAAUCCCGCCAGGCCCA
The sequence is a transfer RNA, 74 nucleotides long. It matches the Rfam family "tRNA". Rfam says of the family: Transfer RNA (tRNA) molecules are approximately 80 nucleotides in length. Their secondary structure includes four short double-helical elements and three loops (D, anti-codon, and T loops).